ACCCACACUCUUCCAUCCAAGAAAAAUGCAAGGAAGAGGGGAGGGGGGUUGUGCUAUAUAUAAGCAGAGGACUUUAGUCCCGGUUUGAGACACAAACCGAGACUAAAGGUGGCGCACAUGCGGGCUGCACACCGCGUAGCCCUUUAGUCCCGGUUUGGGACACAAACCGGGAUUAAAGGCUCCUUACAGGCCGGGACUAAAGCCUCGAGGGAGACAUUGCGAUUUGGGGCGACGUGGUCGGGCCUUUAGUCCCGACCCAGAGGCAGGCCGGGACUAAAGGGUCUCGGCCAAAGGCCCGUUUUCCACUAGUGGUGCUGGCUAGCUGGUUCGUACAUGGCUGACAUCGAAAGGAGGAAGAGAGGGUCGCGCCAGCCAGGUCUCGGCCGAAACAACAGGACAUGGGUCGGCUCUCUCCCUCUCUGCGUUAAAACAUUUGCAAAAAAUAGAACAUGGGUUUUUAACAAAUAACAGAGGCUGAAAGGAAAAGGUUUAGAAGAAAAUAAAAUAUAUUUGGUCUGCUAAUAUCAUGCCACAAUUUAUAAAAAUUCGUUGGGCAUUUUUCGCAUAGCAAAAAUAAAUCCCUUUUACUAAAAUAAGGCACUGUUUUUAAAUAAAAACCAAAAGGAAAAAUAAAACCAAACCGAAGGGGAUGCACUC
Molecule: long non-coding RNA, 657 nt
Filed under: Hordeum vulgare
Lineage: Eukaryota; Viridiplantae; Streptophyta; Magnoliopsida; Poales; Poaceae
Description: long non-coding RNA (HVUL_LNC012225)
Source: RNAcentral